CUGGUACACAGUGGGGAAGGCAGGAAAACGAGGCGUAGAUGACUCUGGACACUGCCUAGGAUGGGCUGAGAGCCAGAGGAGGCCAGUGAGGCUGGGAAGCAGAGGUGUCACCCACAGACUUGAAGACUGGAAUCCAGCUGCUCAUCCACACCUUCGCAUCUAAAGUCAGCCUUAUGUUCCUGGCCUGGCAUCUGGUCUCCUAAUCCAGCAUCAUCAAGUGACCUGUUUCUCCUUAAAAUUUAUUCAGGGGUUAAUAAACAUCCGUGAGCACUCCCAA
Molecule: long non-coding RNA, 277 nt
Organism: Mesocricetus auratus (golden hamster)
Lineage: Eukaryota; Metazoa; Chordata; Mammalia; Rodentia; Cricetidae
Exons: 3
Source: RefSeq, a predicted model, not a curated record